CAGAGUUCGUGCCCUUACGGGUAGAUCUCCCACCCUGUGUUAUUACUACCUUUGUUGCUUUGGCGGGCCGCCCUCGGCCACCGGCUCUCCGGCUGGUGUGCGCCCGCCAGAGGACCCCAAACUCUGAAUAUUAGUGUCGUCUGAGUCCUAUAUAAUAGUUA
Molecule: unclassified non-coding RNA, 161 nt
Filed under: uncultured Leptodontidium
Lineage: Eukaryota; Fungi; Ascomycota
Description: sequence contains ITS1
Source: RNAcentral